RNAcentral lists this long non-coding RNA (610 nucleotides) under Homo sapiens (human). The record is from RNAcentral. Lineage: Eukaryota; Metazoa; Chordata; Mammalia; Primates; Hominidae.
GAAGGCAGCCAGCAUGUUUACCCACUGGGCUUGGAGCCAGACUUCUUUCCCUGGUUCUUCCUCUCUCUGUUUCUCAAUCUCCCCUGCUCUAAGAUGGCCAGAUAUGAAAAGCUGCCAAUCGGGAUGCCAGAACAUCAAAGAGAUCGCUCAUGAGAGCACACAAAGUCCCAUUUGUUCAGCACUUGGACGGAGAUGCCAGCAGCUUCCAGGCAGAGGGAGAAUCGAAGCUAAGCAUAUUUUCCUCAAAUAUAACCUGGUCUGCAGAGGUGCAGCUCUGACUUCAACAUCACCAUUAAUAACUUCAUCACCAAGCAAUUUUACCUUCUUGGAGCUGAAAUGUCAAGCAUCACCACUUGUGUGGAGGGACUUUGUAGAGCUAAAAAGCCUACUGGAGUUGUUUCAGAACAACAAAAAAACCACCCCCCAACAAUUGUUGAAGAGUAUUUCAUUUGUGUAAUAAAAGAGCUGAAAAAAAUAUUCCAAUUGAGCAUUCUCUGGACACCCACAGUCCCUUGGCCCUGAAGAAACAGUUGACCUUACUCUGGGAUGGGGCAUUAACAAAAGACAAAAAUUAAGUCCUGAGAAUCAGAACUAAGAGUCAGAAAUACGC